This 616-nucleotide ribosomal RNA is filed under the name uncultured Legionella sp. Its description in RNAcentral is "bacterial SSU rRNA". It matches the Rfam family "Bacterial small subunit ribosomal RNA", at positions 242 to 849 of the family's 1533-position model. The record is from RNAcentral. Lineage: Bacteria; Pseudomonadati; Pseudomonadota; Gammaproteobacteria; Legionellales; Legionellaceae.
UAGCUAGUUGGUGGGGUAAGGGCCUACCAAGGCGACGAUCGGUAGCUGGUCUGAGAGGAUGACCAGCCACACUGGAACUGAGACACGGUCCAGACUCCUACGGGAGGCAGCAGUGGGGAAUAUUGGACAAUGGGGGAAACCCUGAUCCAGCAAUGCCGCGUGUGUGAAGAAGGCCUGAGGGUUGUAAAGCACUUUCAGCGGGGAGGAGGGAGUAUAGGUUAAGAGCUAAUACUUUGGACGUUACCCACAGAAGAAGCACCGGCUAACUCCGUGCCAGCAGCCGCGGUAAUACGGAGGGUGCGAGCGUUAAUCGGAAUUACUGGGCGUAAAGGGUGCGUAGGUGGUCUGAUAAGUUAUCUGUGAAAUCCCUGGGCUCAACCUGGGCAGGUCAGAUAAAACUGUUAGACUCGAGUAUGGGAGAGGGUAGUGGAAUUUCCGGUGUAGCGGUGAAAUGCGUAGAGAUCGGAAGGAACACCAGUGGCGAAGGCGGCUACCUGGCCUAAUACUGACACUGAGGCACGAAAGCGUGGGGAGCAAACAGGAUUAGAUACCCUGGUAGUCCACGCUGUAAACGAUGUCAACUAGCUGUUGGAUAUAUGAAUAUAUUUAGUGGCGC